RNAcentral lists this long non-coding RNA (602 nucleotides) under Homo sapiens (human). Its description in RNAcentral is "HSALNT0010240". Lineage: Eukaryota; Metazoa; Chordata; Mammalia; Primates; Hominidae. The record is from RNAcentral.
CUUUCGGUGUGUCUGUUGUGUCUUGUUGCGGGCACCGCAGUCGCCGUGAAGAUGGCGUCUACCAGCCGUUUGGAUGCUCUUCCAAGAGUCACAUGUCCAAACCAUCCAGAUGCGAUUUUAGUGGAGGACUACAGAGCCGGUGAUAUGAUCUGUCCUGAAUGUGGCUUGGUUGUAGGUGAGUUGUUAUUAUGGUUUUAAUUUAAAUUACUGUUCAGGAGGCCAAGCAUGGUGGCUCACGCCUGUAAUUCCAGCACUUCGGGAGGCCAAGGUGGGAGGAUCACCUGAGGUCAGGAGUUCGAGACCAGCCUGACCAACAUGAAGAAACCCCAUCUCUACUGAAAAUACAAAAACUAGCCGGGCGUAGUGGUGGGCACCUGUAAUCCCAACUGCCCAGGAGGCUGAGGUAGGAGAAUGGCUUGAACCCAGGAGGCGGAGGUUGCAGUGAGCCGAGAUCGUGCCACUGCACUCUAGCCCGAGCAACAGAGCAAGACUCCGUCUCAAAAAAAAAAUAAUAAUAAUAAUAAUGUUUAGGGUCCUUCACUUUUGCAUAGUUUCCAAACUAUCAUUUAAUGAACACAUUUUUGACUUUCUUCCCCAACAAA